UACCAGCACCCCGAGUGGUCGGGACGUUUAUUGGGCCUAAAGCAUCCGUAGCCGGUUCUGCAAGUCUUCCGUUAAAUCCAGCCGCUCAACGGUUGGGCUGCGGAGGAUACUACGUGGCUAGGAGGCGGGAGAGGCAAGCGGUACUCAGUGGGUAGGGGUAAAAUCCUUUGAUCCAUUGAAGACCACCAGUGGCGAAGGCGGCUUGCCAGAACGCGCUCGACGGUGAGGGAUGAAAGCUGGGGGAGCAAACCGG
Molecule: ribosomal RNA, 253 nt
Filed under: uncultured bacterium
Lineage: Bacteria
Description: partial 16S ribosomal RNA
Rfam family: Archaeal small subunit ribosomal RNA
Source: RNAcentral